Molecule: long non-coding RNA, 1319 nt
Filed under: Taeniopygia guttata (zebra finch)
Lineage: Eukaryota; Metazoa; Chordata; Aves; Passeriformes; Estrildidae
Description: lncRNA (ENSTGUG00000029502.1)
Source: RNAcentral
AUGCUAAUUAGGGGUGGGCGUGGCUCUGAGGUCACGGCCCCGCCCCUUUUGCCCCUCCUCCCCCCAGAGAAGCCCCCGGAGGAGCCGCCGGCGAAGCUGCUGGACGAUUUGUUCCGCAAGACCAAAGCGGCGCCGUGCAUCUAUUGGCUGCCGCUGACCGACUCCCAGCUGCAGCAGAAGCAGGCGGAGCGCGCGGCGCGGGCGCGGGCUUUGCUCAUUAGCAUGAAUUUGCAUACACAGCUGCAGCAGAAGCAGGCGGAGCGCGCGGCGCGGGCGCGGGCUUUGCUCAUUAGCAUGAAUUUGCAUACAGCUGCAGCAGAAGCAGGCGGAGCGCGCGGCGCGGGCGCGGGCUUUGCUCAUUAGCAUGAAUUUGCAUACGCAGCUGCAGCAGAAGCAGGCGGAGCGCGCGGCGCGGGCUUUGCUCAUUAGCAUGAAUUUGCAUACGCAGCUGCAGCAGAAGCAGGCGGAGCGCGCGGCGCGGGCGCGGGCUUUGCUCAUUAGCAUGAAUUUGCAUACAGCUGCAGCAGAAGCAGGCGGAGCGCGCGGCGCGGGCGCGAGCUUUGCUCAUUAGCAUGAAUUUGCAUACACAGCUGCAGCAGAAGCAGGCGGAGCGCGCGGCGCGGGCGCGGGAGCGGGAGCGGCGCCGGAAGGAGCAGGAGGAGGAGGAGCUGCGCACGCGCCAGGGGGGCGGGGCCAAGGAGGGCGGGGCCAAGGAGGGCGGGGCUUCCUCGGGCCCCGCCCACCCGCGCACUUCCGGGGGCGGGGCCGGAACCAGGGCGCCCCCCGGUGGCUCCUCCCGGAAGCGCCGCAGCCGCAGCCGCAGCCCCCGGCGGCGCUAAAGGGACCGAAAUCCGCGGAAUUCGGCCCAAAAUCCGGGAAUAAAAACGGAAAAAUACAGAGAAGGUUUCAGAGGGUUUUUUUGGAGGGAAAACGGUGGAUUUUGGGGAAAAAUACGGUAUUUUUGGAAAAAAAAAAUCGGAUUUUGGGGGAGGAAAAUGGGAUUUUUCGGGAAAAAAAUGGGAUUUUUGGGGAUGGAUUUGGAGGUUUUGGGGAAAAUAUUGAGAAUUUUGGGGGAGAAUUGUGGAUAUUUGGAAGAAAAAAGAAAAUUUAGGGAGAAAUUAUGGAUUUUUUGGAAAAAGAUUGGAUUUUGGGGAGAAAAUGGAAUUUUGAAGGUAAAUCUGGGUUUUGGGGAAGAAAUCAGGAAUUUUUUGGGAAAAAUUAGUAUUUUUUAGGUGAGGUUAACGUUUUUGAUGGAAAACCAGAAAAUUUGAGGAGAAUUUCUGGAUUUUUGGGAAAAAGAUUGGAUUUUUGGGGGAAAA